RNAcentral lists this ribosomal RNA (494 nucleotides) under Streptomyces sp. 313H03. Its description in RNAcentral is "bacterial SSU rRNA". It matches the Rfam family "Bacterial small subunit ribosomal RNA", at positions 93 to 601 of the family's 1533-position model. The record is from RNAcentral. Lineage: Bacteria; Bacillati; Actinomycetota; Actinomycetes; Kitasatosporales; Streptomycetaceae.
UAGUGGCGAACGGGUGAGUAACACGUGGGCAAUCUGCCCUGCACUCUGGGACAAGCCCUGGAAACGGGGUCUAAUACCGGAUACCACCUGGGAAGGCAUCUUCCCGGGUUGAAAGCUCCGGCGGUGCAGGAUGAGCCCGCGGCCUAUCAGCUUGUUGGUGGGGUGAUGGCCUACCAAGGCGACGACGGGUAGCCGGCCUGAGAGGGCGACCGGCCACACUGGGACUGAGACACGGCCCAGACUCCUACGGGAGGCAGCAGUGGGGAAUAUUGCACAAUGGGCGAAAGCCUGAUGCAGCGACGCCGCGUGAGGGAUGACGGCCUUCGGGUUGUAAACCUCUUUCAGCAGGGAAGAAGCGAAAGUGACGGUACCUGCAGAAGAAGCGCCGGCUAACUACGUGCCAGCAGCCGCGGUAAUACGUAGGGCGCAAGCGUUGUCCGGAAUUAUUGGGCGUAAAGAGCUCGUAGGCGGCUUGUUACGUCGGUUGUGAAAGC